CGCAUCUGUGCAUGCAGCAUAUCAAUAAGCGGAGGAAAAGAAACUAACAAGGAUUCCCCUAGUAACGGCGAGUGAAGCGGGAAGAGCUCAAAUUUGAAAUCUUAAAGGGUUUCCCUUUACGAAUUGUAGUUUAAAGAAGUGUUUUCUGUUGAGGUUUUGGUAAAAGUUCUUUGGAAUAGGACAUCAUAGAGGGUGAGAAUCCCGUAUUUGACCUUUACUUUCAACUUUGUGAUACACUUUCAAAGAGUCGGAUUGUUUGGGAAUGCAGUCCAAAAUGGGUGGUAAAUUUCAUCUAAAGCUAAAUAUUGGCGAGAGACCGAUAGCGAACAAGUACCGUGAGGGAAAGAUGAAAAGAACUUUGAAAAGAGAGUUAAACAGUACGUGAAAUUGUCAAAAGGGAAGCGUUUGACACCAGUGUUGUUUUUCUGAAAAUCAAUUAAAGAACUGUUUAUGCUAAGCUGUUUAGACUUUAUCAGCUAAUCUGCUUAGUUUUGAGCUUUUCUUUAAUGCACUUUUCAGUUAACAAGUCAACAUCAAUUUCUUUUGCUGUAAAAAAGCUUGAGGAAGGUGGCUUGAGAUUCGUCUUAAGUGUUUAUAGCCUCUUGCCUAUGCAGUCGGAGAGAUUGAGGUCUGCAGCGUAGAUCCUUCGGGGCUAAAUGCAUUUGUGCUAAGUUAUAGCAUUUUAUAGACAACUUGUUGACUAUGAUUUGUCUUGUAGCUUACUCGCUUAUGUUAUUUUACCUACGCUUAGGAUGUUGAAUCUGUGCGAGACUAC
RNAcentral lists this ribosomal RNA (775 nucleotides) under uncultured Neocallimastigales. RNAcentral describes it as "partial large subunit ribosomal RNA". It matches the Rfam family "Eukaryotic large subunit ribosomal RNA", at positions 26 to 644 of the family's 3401-position model. The record is from RNAcentral. Lineage: Eukaryota; Fungi; Neocallimastigomycota; Neocallimastigomycetes; Neocallimastigales.